Molecule: unclassified non-coding RNA, 27 nt
Filed under: Mus musculus (house mouse)
Lineage: Eukaryota; Metazoa; Chordata; Mammalia; Rodentia; Muridae
Description: oocyte_clustered_small_RNA13445
Source: RNAcentral
UCCCACCUUUGCUUAGCAGAACUGCAG